This 253-nucleotide ribosomal RNA is filed under the name uncultured bacterium. RNAcentral's name for it is "partial 16S ribosomal RNA". It matches the Rfam family "Bacterial small subunit ribosomal RNA", at positions 524 to 776 of the family's 1533-position model. The record is from RNAcentral.
UACGGGGGGGGCAAGCGUUGUUCGGAAUUACUGGGCGUAAAGGGCUCGUAGGCGGCCAACUAAGUCAUACGUGAAAUCCCUCGGCUUAACCGGGGAACUGCGUCUGAUACUGGAUGGCUUGAGUUCGGGAGAGGGAUGCGGAAUUCCAGGUGUAGCGGUGAAAUUCGUAGAUAUUCGGAGGAACACCAGUGGCAAAGGCGGCUCACUGGUCCAUUACUGACGCUGAGGUGCGAAAGCGUGGGGAGCAAACAGG